RNAcentral lists this long non-coding RNA (3085 nucleotides) under Homo sapiens (human). Its description in RNAcentral is "HSALNT0141046". The record is from RNAcentral. Lineage: Eukaryota; Metazoa; Chordata; Mammalia; Primates; Hominidae.
CAGGAGGAGGGAAAAACAGGGCCACAGGCUGGGCAUGACACAUCUUGUUACCCAUGCAAUGUUGGGGUCAGAGAGUGUAGAGAGUGGUGUGGGGAGAGUGCAGGCUGAAGAGUUACCUAAGGUCAAAAUCCUGACCUAUGAGCCAAGCCAUCGAUUUGGGAUUUCUACUGAGGACACUGGAAGUCACUAAGAGCAUCUGAAUGUUUUUAUUUUACACGGCUCACUGUGGCUUUGACCUCCCAUGCUGAAGCGAUCCUCCUAUCUCAACCUCUCAAGUAGCUGGAAGCACAGGCAUGCACCACCACACCUGGCUAAUUUUUUUCUUCCUUUUUUAAAGAGACAGUCUUGCCAUGUUGCCCAGGCCCUGUUGACCAGGAAAAAAAAAAGUUUUUUUUCUUUUUUAAAGAAAGAAAAUAAAAGAGACUGAGAAACCACAGAAAUAAAGAAGCGCUGAUGACAAUGCCUGCUUGCUGAUGGUUACGAUGAUCAUAGCAGUGUGCAUUUUGUAUGCAUGAAGCCUGCGACUAAAUAAACGUGUGGGGAAAUAUUUGUAAGGAAAUAAGCUAUUAAUAAAAUAAGCUAAAAUCACAGUUGCUGGACUAUGACUGAUUUUUCCCCUUUCUCUCAUUUAAAAUUAAAUAUUUGUAUGACUUGUAUAAUAGAAAAAUACAUGUAUUCAAUCUUAAAAAGAUAUUCUUAUUUUACACUUUACGGGACAAAAGAGGUUGUAGGUUGGAAUGGUUCAGUCCCCUUGUGACAACUCAAAAACAGAGACCUUAAGCCUUUCUCAACCAAUGUUGCGGGACAAGCAGGCGUGUGAGGCGACAAUGCCAUUAGGGUAUUUUUUGGAAAAAUUUUAGUGUGAGAGACAAAAGCCAAAUUCAAACUGGCCUGAGCCAAAAUAGGUAGGAAAGGGAGAAGCGGAGACAGGGAGGAAGAAAGAGAGAGAACAGAAAGAAAAAGGGAGAAAUGUCGAAAGGCAAAAUUACAACACAUUUAGUUAAAUGAUUGAAUUGGUUUUUAUUUGUAAUUCAUGAAUUGGGGCAGCAUCUCCUCUAAAACUUUAGGAAAAGUGCUCUGAUGAGCUAAACAGAGAAGCUUGGCUUUAUAGGCAGAAAAGGGUGAAGAAAGCAGACACAGGGAACAAAAAGCAGAUUGGUAAGCUCAGGUUACUUCAGGUUACUUUCCUUAUAAAGGUUAAAGUAGAGGGGACUUCCUUAUCAUGCUGGCUACAACUGGCCUGUUUGGGGAUUUGCAUAUUAUCUCUCUCUGUCUUGAGUUCUGGGAAGGUCUGAUGACUUAGUUUCAGUUUGGUGAUAUGGAACUUAGCAUGAGUGACUCCAUCUUGGUUUGGUCUACUGGGGCCUCCUGCAGGAGCUCAGCCCAAAUCAGUGACCUCCUAUAAAUUUCAUUUAAUAGAAAAGGAAGGAAGGAAGGAAGGAAGGAAGGAAGGAAGGAAGGAAGGAAGGAAGGGAGGGAGGGAGGGAGGGAGGGAGGGAGGAAGGGAGGAAAGAAGGAAGGAAAGAAAGAAAGUUGCUUAUAAGUUGCUUAUAACUAAAAAGACCAGCUGGACCCAGGAGCUCUGAGGUUGCUUUCAGGCCUCUGUCCAUCUCUUAGUUUUCCAUCCUCAGACAGGCUCUGCCCUGCCUUACAGUCUAGCAUUGUUGGCCAAAGGUGACUGACUGGCCCAGCUUGGGCUAUAUGUCCUUCCCUGUGGCCAGAGAGAUGUGUCUCUGUGAUGGCCAGGCUUGGGUCACGUACUCCCUCCCCUACCAGAAUCACAUGAAAAGAGGGAGGAAGAGCCGCUUUCCACCAAAGGAAACUGAAGUGCUAUUGUCAGAGGGGUUGCUGGGCAGACCAAAAAGAUGACAAUAUCUGCUCCAAUCGCUCGGGUUGUUGGUGCUUGGCAGAUUUGCCCCUACGUCACUUUUCAGAUGUGGAUAAGACUGAAGGUGACCACAGGCUUCCGAGAGGAAAGCUGCCAAUGGGGGUGUGAGAGGAGGGGGAAUUCUUACUCACCAAGGUUAACACUGUGCACACUGUUCUCCGAGGAAGUGGGAAUUUCCACAUGGUGAGUUCCCUUCCCUGUACAAUGAAUUACUAUCUUGAUGAGAAACCCGUGGGCAGCUGGUUGAGAAGAGAAAGGUAUUCUCUGAAUGAGAGGGAAUUUACCACCUUCCUUUCAAUGGUGACAGUUUUUUCUGGUGUCACCGCAGGGUGUGGAUUGAUUCAUAUACAAAUAUACAUAUCUACAUAGAUGCCAUUCUGCUAGCCUCUGCAAAAUGCAUGCCUGGAGACCAUUUCUGCUGCCUAGGAGAUGUCAACUUUGUCACCACCACUCUCUCUCCACCACUCCCACACCCUGCAGGGGCCAGGUGUGUGGGUGGGGAGCUCCCCAGCUGGAGGCCAGAUUAGAGGUCUCUGUGUGGUGGGGAUGGGGAGGAUGGGGUGGGAAUGAGGUGGUAGGCCACUGGCAGUGGUCCAAGUUCCAUCCAGGAUCUGUCCUAGGCCUCUCCCCAGGCUGUCGCUUCCACCAUUGAAUUUCUAACCUGGAUCUCUAAGGUUAUGAAUAUCUCAUUCCCGCAUCCUGGGGUGCUCAGACAUGUCUCCCCUGAGUCUCUAGCUGGGCUCGUGGCUGUGAUCAUUGUCCUCAGAGUUCCAUCCUCCCAACAAAGGGACAGAAGAAACACAGGGCCCACUUUUCUGGAUUCUGAGUUGGAGCCAAGAAAUUCUAUCUGCUGCUUCCUUCCUGUUGAAUUAUCCCCCAAGGACCCCUUAGUCCCUCCAGUCUCCUCCAGAGGCCUAUAGCUGCCCCAGCUCCCCAUGAUGGAUACCUGGCUCUUUCCUACCCAGAGGAAAACGCAGGCCCUUCCCCAGCCCUGCACUGAACUCCUGUGAGUGGCUGAGGAGAUGAGGAGGUGUGAAGAGUGAGUGUGUUGGGGAGGGAGGGGUCCCCUGCCACCAGGUACCAAGGACUUCUGCCAGAUCACCAGAACUGACACCUGGUUCCACCGGCCAGCUGUGAAGUGUCGGCCCUGACAUCAACAGCUGACCUCCCACAGGGCCUAAGGAAACGGAAUUGUGG